UACGUAGGGUGCGAGCGUUGUCCGGAAUUAUUGGGCGUAAAGGGCUCGUAGGCGGUUUGUCGCGUCGGGAGUGAAAACCAGGUGCUUAACACCUGGCUUGCUUUCGAUACGGGCAGACUAGAGGUAUGCAGGGGAGAGCGGAAUUCCUGGUGUAGCGGUGAAAUGCGCAGAUAUCAGGAGGAACACCGGUGGCGAAGGCGGUUCUCUGGGCAUUACCUGACGCUGAGGAGCGAAAGUGUGGGGAGCGAACAGG
This 253-nucleotide ribosomal RNA is filed under the name uncultured bacterium. Its description in RNAcentral is "partial 16S ribosomal RNA". It matches the Rfam family "Bacterial small subunit ribosomal RNA", at positions 524 to 776 of the family's 1533-position model. The record is from RNAcentral.